CCUGUCCCUGUAAGUGUUGCAGGCAUGGUUGUUGUGUCACAUGUGCAUCAGGUGACAGAGGAGAGAGGCUAUGUCUACACUUAGUGUUCUGACUUAUGUACAUCUGAAUGCUUAGUACCCUACAUU
RNAcentral lists this small nucleolar RNA (126 nucleotides) under Mus spretus (western wild mouse). RNAcentral describes it as "predicted gene, 25418 (ENSMSPG00010001364.1)". It matches the Rfam family "Small nucleolar RNA SNORA17". Rfam says of the family: snoRNA ACA 17 belongs to the H/ACA family of snoRNAs and is predicted to guide pseudouridylation of the 28S rRNA at positions U4659 and U4598. It shares the same host gene together with ACA43. NB This family has a high threshold value to exclude a large number of closely related sequences that do not appear to have conserved H and ACA boxes, and may be pseudogenes. Lineage: Eukaryota; Metazoa; Chordata; Mammalia; Rodentia; Muridae. The record is from RNAcentral.